UUUAGUCAGGCAACGAGCGAGACCCGUGCCCACUGUUACCAGCAUGUCCUCAGGGACGAUGGGUACUCUGUGGGGACCGCCGGUGUUAAAUCGGAGGAAGGUGCGGGCCACGGUAGGUCAGUAUGCCCCGAAUCUCCCGGGCUACACGCGGGCUACAAUGGAUGGGACAAUGGGUCCCUACCCUGAAAAGGGAUGGUAAUCUCAUAAACCCAUUCUUAGUUCGGAUCGAGGGCUGUAACUCGCCCUCGUGAAGCUGGAAUCCGUAGUAAUCGCGUUUCAAUAUAGCGCGGUGAAUACGUCCCUGCUCCUUGCACA
Molecule: ribosomal RNA, 315 nt
Filed under: uncultured archaeon
Lineage: Archaea
Description: bacterial SSU rRNA
Rfam family: Archaeal small subunit ribosomal RNA
Source: RNAcentral